GCCCGAAUGGUGGAAUGGUAGACACGAGGGACUUAAAAUCCCUUGGUAUAACAGCCGUAUGGGUUCGAGUCCCAUUUCGGGCA
RNAcentral lists this transfer RNA (83 nucleotides) under Muribaculaceae bacterium. Its description in RNAcentral is "tRNA-Leu". It matches the Rfam family "tRNA". Rfam says of the family: Transfer RNA (tRNA) molecules are approximately 80 nucleotides in length. Their secondary structure includes four short double-helical elements and three loops (D, anti-codon, and T loops). Further hydrogen bonds mediate the characteristic L-shaped molecular structure. tRNAs have two regions of fundamental functional importance: the anti-codon, which is responsible for specific mRNA codon recognition, and the 3' end, to which the tRNAs corresponding amino acid is attached (by aminoacyl-tRNA synthetases). tRNAs cope with the degeneracy of the genetic code in two manners: having more than one tRNA (with a specific anti-codon) for a particular amino acid; and 'wobble' base-pairing, i.e. permitting non-standard base-pairing at the 3rd anti-codon position. Lineage: Bacteria; Pseudomonadati; Bacteroidota; Bacteroidia; Bacteroidales; Muribaculaceae. The record is from RNAcentral.